RNAcentral lists this ribosomal RNA (443 nucleotides) under uncultured bacterium. Its description in RNAcentral is "partial 16S ribosomal RNA". It matches the Rfam family "Bacterial small subunit ribosomal RNA", at positions 338 to 795 of the family's 1533-position model. The record is from RNAcentral.
CCUACGGGUGGCAGCAGUGGGGAAUAUUGGGCAAUGGGCGCAAGCCUGACCCAGCAACGCCGCGUGAAGGAAGAAGGCUUUCGGGUUGUAAACUUCUUUUCUGAGGGACGAAGAAAGUGACGGUACCCGAGUCCCCAGACACGUCGCCAUGCGGUACAGCAGCGGCGCUAAUAGUGAGGUGGCAAGCGUUAUCCGGAGUUAUUGGGUGGAAAGGGCGUGUAGGCGGGAAAGCAAGUUAGAUGUGAAAACUCAGGGCUCAACCCUGAGCCUGCAUUUGAAACUGUGUUUCUUGAGUGCUGGAGUGCCAAUCGGAAUUCCGUGUGUAGCGGUGAAAUGCGUAGAUAUACGGAGGAACACCAGUGGCGAAGGCGGAUUGCUGGACAGUAACUGACGCGGUGGCGCGAAAGCGUGGGGAGCAAACAGGAUUAGAUACCCCUGUAGUC